This 497-nucleotide ribosomal RNA is filed under the name uncultured bacterium. RNAcentral's name for it is "partial 16S ribosomal RNA". It matches the Rfam family "Bacterial small subunit ribosomal RNA", at positions 28 to 507 of the family's 1533-position model. The record is from RNAcentral.
GAUGAACGCUGGCGGCGUGCCUAAUACAUGCAAGUCGAGCGAACGGACGAGAAGCUUGCUUCUCUGAUGUUAGCGGCGGACGGGUGAGUAACACGUGGAUAACCUACCUAUAAGACUGGGAUAACUUCGGGAAACCGUAGCUAAUACCGGAUAAUAUUUUGAACCGCAUGGUUCAAAAGUGAAAGACGGUCUUGCUGUCACUUAUAGAUGGAUCCGCGCUGCAUUAGCUAGUUGGUAAGGUAACGGCUUACCAAGGCAACGAUGCAUAGCCGACCUGAGAGGAGGAGAGCCAACAUGGGAACGGAAACCGGGACAAGACCCGUACGGGAGGAGCAAGGGGGGAUUUUCCGGCAUGGGGGGAAAGCCGGAGGGAGCACGGCGGGGGGAGUGAAGAAGUUUUUGGGAUGUUAAACCUUUUUUAUUGGGAAAAAAAAUAUGUAAACGAACAUGGCCCCUUUGGGACGGGACUAAAAAAAAAAGCACCGGCUAACUACGUG